RNAcentral lists this ribosomal RNA (262 nucleotides) under uncultured prokaryote. RNAcentral describes it as "partial 16S ribosomal RNA". It matches the Rfam family "Bacterial small subunit ribosomal RNA", at positions 524 to 784 of the family's 1533-position model. The record is from RNAcentral.
UACGUAGGGUGCGAGCGUUGUCCGGAAUUAUUGGGCGUAAAGGGCUCGUAGGCGGUGUGUCGCGUCUGUCGUGGAAUCCUGCGGCUUAACCGUGGGUGUGCGGUGGAUACGGGCAUCACUUGAGUUCGGUAGGGGAGACUGGAAUUCCUGGUGUAGCGGUGGAAUGCGCAGAUAUCAGGAGGAACACCGGUGGCGAAGGCGGGUCUCUGGGCCGAUACUGACGCUGAGGAGCGAGAGCGUGGGGAGCGAACAGGAUUAGAUA